AUGAGAAAAACCUCGGCUCCCAGAGGCCACCUGAUUGGCCUUCCUCACUGCUGCCGUGAUGAGCUCAGUGCUGGUCUGUGUGCCCCCUCACAGAACUCUCCCUCCACCAACACUGGGACGUGUGCCGAUCAAGAUGCUCAGCUCUGCUCCCAGCCUCUGCCUCUGCCGAACUUCUACUCCUCCUGGGAACCUGCCCCACCAGACUCUCGGCCCACGCCUGGCAGAGGAAUUCCCCACACCUACCCUCUGCCGUGCUCAGAGCUGCCUUGUCCUCACAGCUUCCUUGACACAGCUGGCAGGGAAGCAGGUAGGGUAGGCUGGGCGAGGCUGCUCUGAGUGUCUGCUAGGAGAGUGGCAGGGAGAAGAAAAAUAUCCCAGAGGGUAGUGCCUCCCCAGGAAGUCCUCAUAGGCCCCUGUACUAAAUCCUCUACUCCUCAUCCCUACCUUCAGGGUGUUCAGGUCCAGAUUAGGGCCUGUGACCAAAAGAAAGGAUGACAGAGGAGAGGGAGCCUCCAUGGAAGAGAGCUCACUCCAGAGUCAAGAGUCAUUCAGUUCAUUGAUUCUCCUGCUCACUGUGUGACCUCUGGGAAGUUCCUUAAACUCUCUGAACCCCUCUAAGGCACAGGAGGCAUGGAAUUGUCCUGGUUACUAGGCGGAUCACAUGGACAGAUCGCAGCUCCUGAGACUAAAUCAGUGCCACUCGAGGUUGGCUGCUAAUGUUCCGAGGUCCUGGGAGGCAGAAGACCCCCACCCUGCUGUCAACUCCGCAGUAGUCUGAUGCUGUCCCCACCCCUGCCUGAGCCAGACACUGUGAACACCCCAAGCUGAGGUCCCUACAGAGGAUUUCUUGGCAGUGUCCCAGCACCAGCUGGCAGGGCUUCUGAGAUAAACCUUGGGUGUGGUUGGAGCUGUGCCAGUAGGAGCCACAGACUGCUACAGAUCUUUCACCCUGAAUCUUUGGUAAUUUCAGAUGUAAAUGCUGAUGUGACCCCAGGAAAGGAACAUGGGGACAGGGGGAUAUGAUGGUGCUGGCAAGACCCAUUUAAGAGUAGCAGACAGGAUACAGCCACUAAGGAGGCCUAUGUGCCCACACUGGGGAGCUGACGCUCUCUGCAGACAGGAUGCAUGGUACAUAAAUUCUAUCUUAAUAAAGCUAUGCUUUAAAGGACACUAAAUUGAAAGAAAACCUACAUAGCCUAUAAAUCAAUUGAAAUAUGCACAACCCCA
This 1227-nucleotide long non-coding RNA is filed under the name Fukomys damarensis (Damara mole-rat). RNAcentral describes it as "lncRNA (ENSFDAG00000033540.1)". The record is from RNAcentral. Lineage: Eukaryota; Metazoa; Chordata; Mammalia; Rodentia; Bathyergidae.